AAUUUUCCGUCGGUCUUAGUACACGAUGUAACUACAGAAGAGUCAAGUUUUAAAUAGGAAAAAUAUUGAAACUCUUUGGUCAUUUUUUAACGAGAUGCUAACGGUCUAAUCAGAUUCAAUGAAAUAUGCUAAGCUAUGCUAAAAGUGGUACCGCCAGACCCGGAGAUUGGCUGAAUGGAUUCGAAAACGGUAAAACUCAACUGUUUAACUCUAGGGGAGUUGGAAAAUGAGCCUAUUUUCAAAAAAAGUGGAGUGUUCCUUUAAAUCAUGCAGAGAGAUUUCCAAGGCAGAUGAAGAAGUUGCAGAGACAACCAGUACCUUGACCUUACCAUCCCUACUGUAUUUCUUUCAAAACGGUCAUGUUGUAAGCCAUCCACUUUGACAGUUGUUUCAACAAGAGGUUGAAAGUCAUGCAUCGUUACUAUUCAUUUGAAUCCUGCUGACUAUACACGCUCAAGCCCUGCUAUGUAUUAUUAAAAGUUCUUGUUUUAUGUCAGAAUUAAAAGAUUCAAAGACAUUUGCUACAGUUGAUGAAUACGUUUUAUUAAUUUGAAAGUUUCUGAAUCCUUUGGAAUUAGAAAUAAAAUCUGUAUAAAAUGACUUGGCCAUGAUUAAUUAUAUUGUCUGUUACAUAUGAAGAUCUCAAGUAUGAAGGAGCACAACAUUCAGUACAGAGAAAUAUAUGUCUCUUCCAUAGUUGUGAGAUUGUCUGACUAACAGUUUGAAGCUGGGCUACAAGUUCUGCAGUCACAGGCCAUUCUACUGUAACCACAAUUCCACUGCAUGGCUGGUCAGCGAUGAUGGUUGUUUUCUUUUCUUUUAAAAUAGAUAAAUGUUUAUGGCCAAAUGAUAAAUAUAAGUGCAAUACAUCAGGUGAAAAGUUAGCAUAUAAAUGUGUUCAAUCCAGUCAUCUCUCUGUCAGGACAUAUCAUAUUUUGGUCUGAUAUUUAAAGCAGUCAGCACUGUACAAGAGGUGAUGGUGAAAUAAUGGUGGAGUUAUCUUAGUUGCAUAAUGUUAAUUGCAUCUCUAAUCAGUAUGCCUUCAUAAUUAAUGUUAGUUAAAAAAAAAGUUAAAGGAUUAGUUCACUUCUGAAUGAAAAUUUCCUGAUAAUUUAUUCACCCCCAUGUUAUACAAGAUGUUCACGUCUUUCUUUCUUCAGUCAAAAAGAAAUUAAGGUUUUUGAUGAAAACAUUCCAGGAUUAUUCUCCUUAUAGUGGACUUCAAUGGACUCCACUGUUGAAGGUCAAAAUUACAGAUUCAGUGCAACUUCAAAGGGCUUUAAACGAUACCAGAUGAGGAAUAAGGGUCUUAUCUAGCGAAAUGAUCGGUCAUUUUCUAAAAAAUUCAAAUGUAUAUGCUUUAUAAACACAAAUGAUCGCCUUGCGAGUGCUUCCGCCUUCUGUAUUCUUCAAAAAGCUUAUGCUGUAUGUCCUACGCCUUUCCUAUUCUACUUACGGAAAAAACAGAACUGGCGCUGCGUUCGUUCCGUAAGUUGAAUGACAAAUGGAUGAAUUCAUGUGCUGCAGCCUGUAAAUCGACUGACAGGACUCUCUGUACUAAAGAGCAAACAAACGAGGUGGCGCCCAUCUCGCGUUAUAGAUUAAGAUCAAGAUCUAAUGUCCAUUUUCAAAUAGAGUCAUUGGGUGACAGAGUUGUUGUCAGCUCAUGUAGUGUGUAACCCCCUGUUGCGGAUCAUUUACAUAGUGUCGAGUAGUGUGAACAACACAAUGACUUCAAGACUCCACAGCAAGUCAUGUAUUCUGAACAGCACAGCGAUCUGCCGACGUUUAAAGUCCUGUAGUGUAAACUUGGCAUAACAUGGCUAACGUUAACUACAUCGAGACAGUGAUCGAAUUCAGUAGCCAGCCUGUAGAUCUCAGUACACCUUAUUGAUGAUGAUGAUGAUACUGUAUAGGCCUAUACAGGAAAGCAGAUGAUACUAGAAUAUAACCAACAUAAUAAAUUGCAUAUUCUGAGUGCAUCUGCUUGCAAACACGUAUAGCAUGCAUAUAUUAAGUCUUAUAAUAAUUUUUUCAAAAUAUAUUUUUUCUUUCAAAAAACUCAUCUUUGGUGGCCUGAGUAAAUUGUCAUUACAUAUUGAAUCAUAGGAUACACUAGAUAGUUGGUUUCGAUCCAGUUGAAUGGACAGUUACACCCCUAGAUAGUAAUAUGAUGCAGCUAAGUCAAAGUAAUUAAUAUAAUUUUACAGGUAACACAAUAAAGUUCAUUAGUUAAACAUUAGUUAAUUUAUUAACUAACAUGAACUAACCAUGAGCAAUACAUUUGUUACUGUAUUUACUAAUCUUAUAGUAAAUAUAGUUGUAGUUGUUCUGUAAAUAUAGUUGUUCAUUGUUUGUUCAUGUUAGUUCACAGUGCAUUAACUGUUAACAAGAUUUUAAUAAUGUAUUAGUAAAUGCUGAAAUUAAUAUUAACAAAGAUUAAUAAAUGCUGUAUAAAUGCAGUUCAUUAUUAGUUCAUGUUAACUAAUGUAGUUAACUAAUGUUAACAAAUGAAGAACCUUUUUGUAAAGUGUUACCAUUUCAUGUAAUACAAAUUUAGCUAAAAUCACAUGGCAGCCAAAAACAUAAAUGUGUUGGCCUUUCCUGCUCAGCUUCCAGAUCAAACUAGGUUGAGGUUUUGCAUUGUCUCAGUAAAACAUACGCUGGCAUUUUUGAUUUAAUGUAAUAGGCCUACUAAAUUUUGUUUAUUUUUGUGAUUUCAGGUCAUGUGGAAAGACUGUGGAGAUCUACAGCAGAUGAGCAUUGCAGUCCAGGUGUGAAAAGAGUGCACUAUUCUUCUCAUACAACAAAUUAUUUGUUUACAUCUUUUCAUGUAGCUGUUUUGUACAGUAUUUUUAUUGUAAUUGUAACUAGAAUCAUUCAGAAACAUGUUUUUUUUUUUUUUGAUCACUGACACACAUCUCCACCUUUCAUUCCAGCCGGAUGAUUAGCCUUUAGCUGCUCGCAUCUCAGCCUGCUACAUGGAAAUUUCUGACCUUCACCUGGAUGACCUUUACCUUCAACUCCACCUUGCCAAGACAGAAGUGCUUGUGGUUUCAGCCAGCCCCUCCUUUGUGUUAUAAUUGAUCAGUUAAACUUCACACACCACAUUGCUAGAACUGCCCGAUCUUGCAGAUUUGCCUUGUACAACAUUAGGAAGAUCAGGCCAUUCCUAUCGGAACAUGCUACACAACUUGUCAUCCAAGCUCUUGUUCAAUCCAGACUGGCCUAUUGUAAUGAUGGAGCCAGACCUCAUUCAGAUGUUCCACACACCUCUGCAAGAAUCGGUCUCCCUGGAGCAGCUGCAGAGGGAGUCCAAUUGUGACCCCACACUGACAACACUCCGCACAUAUAUAUGCUCGGGAUGGCCAGCACGGGUGCCUGAGGAGCUAAAACCUUUUGCUAAGGUAGAAAAUGAACUGUCAUGUUGGGGCGAGGUUUGUGUCUCUAGAGGCCUUUGUACAGUGGUGCCGGGCAGCCUGCGUGCACGCGUCUUAUCAAUGGCACAUGAGGGGCACUUGGGUAUUGUAAAGCUCAAGCAAAGAUGCCGGGACCUGGUCUGGUGGCCAGGCAUUGAUCGCGACAUUGAAGGACUGGUCCGAUACUGUGAACCGUGUCUACUCAGUGGAAAGACUGGACAACCGGUCUCGCCCCCUUUGUAGCCUGUUCCAUGGCCAUCUCAUCCAUGGAAGCACCUUCAACUGGACAUUUGUGGGGAAAUUCAUGGCCAUGGCAUUCCCCACCAUCAGCGCUUUCUGGUGGUCGUGUAUGAUCUCCAUUUUAAAUGGGCCGAGGUAAUACCAGCCGGGACAGUGACAACACAGACCAUCACUCAGAUACUGGAGAGUCUGUUUGCUCGCUGGGGCAUGCCCCAUGCCAUCACUACUGAUAAUGGGCCGCAGUUUACCUCUGCAGACUUCUCCACCUUCUUGUGCAGUAAAAGAAUUAAGCAUUUCCGUGCCGCACUCUACCAUCCCCAGGCAAAUGGUGGGGUCGAAAGGUUCAAUCAAAGCGGCAUUCUUAAGAACAGCAUUCGUGCACACCAGGCCCAGGGGUAUACAUUCCAAACAGCACUCAACUUAACGCUGAUGCAUUACAGAGCUAGCCAGCACACCACCACUCAGGACUCUCCAGCUCUGCUCUUGCUUUGCCGAGAGAUGGAAUUGCCAUUGAACAGACUCAGACCACAACCUGGGCAGCAGCCAAAGCUGCCGUAAGUUCAAACCAGAGGCGAAUGAAGGACAACUUUGACAGAAGAUACAAGGCCAAAUCUAGUAAGAUAACAGUUCUAGACUGGGUUCGGGUCCAGAGACAAACAAAAUGGCAUCGUUUUGGUCUAAACCCCUCCAGGUGGAUUGUCAGUUAGUGCCUGCCACAUUCUUGUUGAGCAAUGGCUCUCGCUGGCAUGCUAGCAGACUGCAGAAAGUGCCAACCACUUUCAACUCAAACGUGCUCACAGGCAAGGGAGCCUAGUGGAGGACCAACACACAGCACGUCUUUUGCACCACCAUCACCGAGGCCAGUUCCACCAUGGACAGGCCGGGUGCUUCAAGGAUCCUCUGUCAGGGUGGUCCCGCAACAAUCUCCACCAGCUGUGGGGCCUCAACCUCUUCAGCCACUGCUUGAUGAGAAUCAGGAGGGCCAGGAUGAGCUUCUCAUUCAAUGAGCUUCUCAUUCAACUUGUCUCAGCACUGAAGAGUGACGGACAAUGUGAGCUUCACUGACUUCACUCCUAUUGGUUGUCACUCCCAAAAAUUGCUCUUUAUUUGCAUAAAGUUGAACAGAUCUCAUUUUUGUCGGGUCUUUGGACAUGCCCCAUCCGGACGCCAAGGGUCACUUGUGUCGCACUUGCGUAUUAUUACUGUAACUGCAAGAUGUUGUAAUCAAGUAGAUUGUGAAGGCAUUUGGAUAGUAUUAUAAUACAAUUCUCAUAAUUUUGA
Molecule: long non-coding RNA, 4940 nt
Organism: Ctenopharyngodon idella (grass carp)
Lineage: Eukaryota; Metazoa; Chordata; Actinopteri; Cypriniformes; Xenocyprididae
Exons: 2
Source: RefSeq, a predicted model, not a curated record